GACGAACGCUGGCGGCGUGCCUAAUACAUGCAAGUAGAACGCUGAAGCUUGGUGCUUGCACCGAGCGGAUGAGUUGCGAACGGGUGAGUAACGCGUAGGUAACCUGCCUGGUAGCGGGGGAUAACUAUUGGAAACGAUAGCUAAUACCGCAUAAGAGUAGAUGUUGCAUGACAUUUGCUUAAAAGGUGCAAUUGCAUCACUACCAGAUGGACCUGCGUUGUAUUAGCUAGUUGGUGAGGUAACGGCUCACCAAGGCAACGAUACAUAGCCGACCUGAGAGGGUGAUCGGCCACACUGGGACUGAGACACGGCCCAGACUCCUACGGGAGGCAGCAGUAGGGAAUCUUCGGCAAUGGACGGAAGUCUGACCGAGCAACGCCGCGUGAGUGAAGAAGGUUUUCGGAUCGUAAAGCUCUGUUGUAAGAGAAGAACGAGUGUGAGAGUGGAAAGUUCACACUGUGACGGUAUCUACCAGAAAGGGACGGCUAACUACGUG
Molecule: ribosomal RNA, 496 nt
Filed under: uncultured bacterium
Lineage: Bacteria
Description: partial 16S ribosomal RNA
Rfam family: Bacterial small subunit ribosomal RNA
Source: RNAcentral